RNAcentral lists this long non-coding RNA (848 nucleotides) under Rattus norvegicus (Norway rat). RNAcentral's name for it is "long non-coding RNA NONRATT019920". Lineage: Eukaryota; Metazoa; Chordata; Mammalia; Rodentia; Muridae. The record is from RNAcentral.
UGCUGAGAGCUCAUCAGAGACCCUGGAUAGAGGCCAGCACCGUGACUCCCAGAGAGAGGACCUUUGGAUUUGUACCUUUGUUUACACCGGGCAUCAGGCCAAUUCAUUUGCGGUUUGAAAUAGAGAUGUAAAGGGGGUUUGAGGAAAAAUUGACAGUUUAGACAAUUUCCACGUUAGUGUUGAAGCGGGUAGGAGAGACUGGUUCCUGGUUUAAUCUGUGUAGAUAGGUUCUGUUUGGGAUUCUGGUUGUGGAUCAAAAGGAUGGAGGUGGUGCCUUCAUAUGGUGAGUACGUUUGGGAGUCAGACCUCUUGGGUCUGACUGAGCUCUGGUAUUUUGUAGCUAUUGAAUGGCCAUCUAAUGCUUACUGAGUACAUGGUGUGCUUGUUUGAAAAUAAACUUGUCUCAGAAUGGAUCUAUUAUAAGAAUGUUUGAUAGUGCCAAUGUCCCUAUGGAUUAAAACAAGACUGAAUGUCAGGUGUUCAGAAUCUGAUCGAGGCUGGGUUGGAGGUGAUCUUAGAGAAUUAAGCUGAUAAUCGUAAUAUGGACAGCUAAGUAGAGUUGGAGGCUCGGGAAGCUGGGCCUGACGGGCUGUUGGGACCACUGUCCAACCUUUAGGAUCAUAUGUGGAAAUCAGAGUAACAAGGAUUUGUGAAGCAGAUAGUUCUGGCCCUUAAUCUUAAAACCGUGAGAGACAAAUACCUGUUUUUAACAGUAGGGGACCAUGGUUACCUCUAAAAGUCCUAAAUUUCAAAACAGUUCCCAUUCUUUGCCUUAUCUGAUUCAAAAUAAAUGGAAUUCUAAACUAAAAUAAUGUAAUAAAGUUGAAUAAAGGGUUUUUUCACCAUGA